RNAcentral lists this non-coding RNA (387 nucleotides) under uncultured fungus. RNAcentral describes it as "eukaryotic LSU rRNA". The stretch from base 1 to 105 matches the Rfam family "5.8S ribosomal RNA", at positions 50 to 154 of the family's 154-position model. RNAcentral also lists the same sequence under 1 other name. The record is from RNAcentral. Lineage: Eukaryota; Fungi.
GAAAUGCGAUAAGUAAUGUGAAUUGCAGAAUUCAGUGAAUCAUCGAAUCUUUGAACGCACCUUGCGCCCUUUGGUAUUCCGAGGGGCAUGCCUGUUUGAGUGUCAUUAAAUACCAUCAACCCUCUUUUGACUUCGGUCUCGAGAGUGGCUUGGAAGUGGAGGUCUGCUGGAGCCUAACGGAGCCAGCUCCUCUUAAAUGUAUUAGCGGAUUUCCCUUGCGGGAUCGCGUCUCCGAUGUGAUAAUUUCUACGUCGUUGACCAUCUCGGGGCUGACCUAGUCAGUUUCAAUAGGAGUCUGCUUCUAACCGUCUCUUGACUGAGACUAGCGACUUGUGCGCUAACUUUUGACUUGACCUCAAAUCAGGUAGGACUACCCGCUGAACUUAA